Long non-coding RNA from Heterocephalus glaber (naked mole-rat), 2400 nucleotides. NCBI's taxonomy places the organism in Eukaryota, Metazoa, Chordata, Mammalia, Rodentia, Bathyergidae. The record is from Ensembl.
GUUCAAAGGUCAGUGGACUAUGCCCCAGGCACCCGCUAGAGGGCACCAGAGUCAGGCCCUCUCUCCACCAACCCACGGCGGUUUCCAGAGCUCGCUGCGCCCGGGUUCUGACGCUGUGUAAGGCGGCGGCUCUCAGCCAAGCCGCCGCUCAGUUCCAACUACGAGACGCUUGGCACUUGUGUUUGGCUAAACAAGCAAUCAGAAUGACUUCAAUCCAAAGCCUAACUGGAAAAAUUACUCACGACAGUAUUGACAAAGAAGUCUUAGAAAAGGAGGACCUCCGCAGAAGAGAGAACCCAGGGCCAGCCGCAGAAGAGGAGAGAUUUACCAUACUGGAUGCAUACCCGAAAGGGCCCAAACCAGAAAGCAUGAUUCAAACACUGUGCUCAGGACCAAGGAAAUGGGAUCCCUGAGUCCAACCAGAGGAGUGACGCCGGUUACAUACGAUGUAGAAUACUGCGCUGUCCCUGAGCACAGUGGCGCACCCGAGUCCCAGCAACUGGGAGGCUGAGAUGCGAGGAUUGCAAGUUUGAGCCCAGCCCGGGCAACUCAGGGAGACCAUGUCUCAAAAGAAAAAGAAAAAAAAAGGUCAUCUGGGAAGCGGUCUCGAGAUGUUACGUGAUCCUGUCCCAAUGUGCUCCUCCUACCGGCCCAAAGCAAUGGUCCUACCAACCCCGGGCGGAAAUCUCCAGCUAACCUUUCAGUUUAUACAUUUAUUAUCUCGUUUUUCCUUAGAGGGACAUGAAGCUGACGAACAACAAAAAUGUUUUUCUCAAAAUUAAAAAGUCAUUAAAUUAUAUCCUGGAGUGACAUAAAGUCAGAUUGCUGGUGGUUUCUAAUGGUAGGAUUAUGGGCUAUUUAAGUUUCCUCUUUGCAUUUUCCUGUUUCCCAAAUUUCUGCAAGUAUUUGUAUCUGAUAACAGAAAUUAUGCAUACAGCAUUUUCACUCUUCUGUUAAGGUAGUAGCUCUACCCUGGAGACCUUUUCCAUGGGCUGAGAUCGGGCUGAGCAGGUCCACUCUGCUGAGGGGGACAAAUGUCAGUCUAGGCCAGGAAAAGGAGGGGCUUGGACCAGAAUAGAAGAAAUGGAAACCAGCUCACCUGACCAGCAGUUCUCAGGCCCCAGUGAGGGCCCCGGGAAAUCCCAGGCCAUGGUCCUGGUCCAGAGAGGUCUUCCCGGAGCAUGGCUGAACCUCAGGCCCUUGACUUAUUUUUCACAUUAUUUUAAAUCUAUUCUCCAGAAAAAUGCAUAUUUUUGGUAGAAAAGUUGCAUAUAGAGAAAACACAAGGAAAAACCACCACACAUACUUCCAUCACCCAAACUAACCAACAUUCCCAUUGUUGUACACAUUUCCCAUCUUCUCUUUUAACUCAAAAUCAGGAUUAUAUUGUAAAUAAUAUUUGAUAAACUUUCAUCUUUUUAUUUUUAUUUUAAAUAAAAUAGGUUUGUUGAGACAGAGUCUCGCUAUGUAAUUCAGGCUGGCCUUGGAUUCACAGCAAUUCUCCUGCCUCAGCCUCUUGAGUGCUGGGAUUACAGGUGUGGGCCACCACACCUGGCAUUAUUUUGAAAAUUUUCAAACCUACAGAAAUGAACCUUCACCUAGAUUCACCAGUUGUUAAUGUUUUAUCUCUCUCCCCAUAAAUAUUUUCCUAGAUUUCACCAUCUGUUAAAUUUUAACUGUGUCUAUAAAUAUUUUCCCAGGCCACUUGAAAAGAAGUUGUAAAUUUGGGAACAAAAGGUUGUCCUAAUUAAAAAAGAAAGAAAGAAGUUGUAGACAUUAUGAUACUUUCUCCUAAAUUCUUCAGCUGUGUCUAAGAGGAAGUCAUCAAGGGCUAGAAUAGAAAGCCCCCACGUGAAGAAUAGCCCAGGCUUGUCCGAAAAUCUUUACUAGGGGGCGGUCUCCUUCUCCGACUUCUCUCUGCCGCCCCCCAGGACUCAGGAGACAGACUUCUCUCCCGAGGAACGAGCCAGCUUCCUCCCGGCAGCCUGGCACCACGUAGGAAGGGCAUAACUGUAGCAGCUCGGAGGGCGGGGGGUGCAGCUCGGUGGCAGAGCGCUUGCUUAGCUUGCUCAAGGCCUGGGUUCCAUCCCCCAGUACCCUUCCCCUCCAAAGGAAAGGAAAGGAGAGGAGGGGAGGGGAGGAGAGAAGCGGAAGGGAGAGGAGACAGGUUAAAUGCUGAGCUGCAAAGCAAAGAUGAUCUGUGCUGCCACCUAGUGGUGAUAUCUAGAAUUCCCCCAGGUAUUUUGUUUUUGAGGCAGGGUCUCCCUGUGUAGUCUAGGCUGGCCUUGCCCUCACUAUGCAGUCCAGGCUGGCCUCGAACUCGUGAUGACCCUCCGUGCGCCUCCACAUCGGGCUCCCCCAGGCAUUUUGGAUUAACAAGGAGGGAUCUUUGCCCUAUCC